This 499-nucleotide ribosomal RNA is filed under the name uncultured bacterium. RNAcentral describes it as "partial 16S ribosomal RNA". It matches the Rfam family "Bacterial small subunit ribosomal RNA", at positions 28 to 507 of the family's 1533-position model. The record is from RNAcentral.
GACGAACGCUGGCGGCGUGCCUAAUACAUGCAAGUCGAGCGAAGGUUUUCUGGUGCCUGCACCGGAAAAACUUAGCGGCGAACGGGUGAGUAACACGUAAAGAACCUGCCUCAUAGACUGGGACAACUAUUGGAAACGAUAGCUAAUACCGGAUAACAGCAUUAACUGCAUGGUUGAUGUUUAAAAGUUGGUUUUGCUAACACUAUGAGAUGGCUUUGCGGUGCAUUAGCUAGUUGGUGGGGUAAAGGCCUACCAAGGCGACGAUGCAUAGCCGACCUGAGAGGGUGAUCGGCCACCCUGGGACUGAGACACGGCCCAGACUCCUACGGGAGGCAGCAGUAGGGAAUCUUCCGCAAUGGGCGAAAGCCUGACGGAGCAACGCCGCGUGAGUGAAGAAGGAUUUCGGUUCGUAAAGCUCUGUUGUUAGGGAAGAAUGAUUGUGUAGUAACUAUACACAGUAGAGACGGUACCUAACCAGAAAGCCACGGCUAACUACGUG